GCUCUGUUUUAGCAUACCCCGUUGUUGUAGUGCCUUCCCUGGGCUUUGGGUGGGAGCCCGUCUAUCCGUUCUGGGGGGGGUCUUUGCAGUUUGUAAACUCCUUCUGUGCAGCGGAUGCUACUGCUUGCAUAUUUAUACAGCACCUAGUAUCACCCGGUUGAAGCGCUGUCAUAUAUCUGCUAAAUAAUACCAGCCACAACAGUUGUAAUCUGGUAUUUUCCAAGCUGAACCUGCAGUUACAUUUUUCAGCAGUUCAGUCACUUGUUGCACAGACAGAAAGAAAAUUAACCACAAGCACUGAUCUCUCUCUCUAUUAACCUCAGGGCUUCCAGCUUCGCUCCUCCCUGCUUCUAAAUCACUGUUUAUUGCUAUUUUUACAAGAGAAGAUUAAUGGACUUAAAUGGGCACAGUCCUAAGAGGAAAAUCGCACAACGCAAUGGCUAACAUUGCAUGAAGCAGAUGGGCUCACCUUGCGGCAGGUCGAGACGGAUGGACGGCAAGAAACAGCAGGUGGAGAAGCCCAACGGCAGAAGAUAUCCGAGUAUCUCGCACACUCGCGGACAAGUAUUUUGAUUGUUCAGCCCUGGUUUUACAUUUAAUAGCCUUGCUACCUUCUCCCCACAGCGAUCACAUUCUGCUCCCACAUGUGGAACAGUUUACGUUUCUCUUUUGCAUAGAGGUGGAAGGCAGUCGGGCUCAGUUUUCGCGGUGGGCUUUGUCUGAAGCCCGUCAGGAGCCCGGUCUCACCACCAUGAGCAUCGCACGACAGGGAAGGCAUCGCAGGGAAAGGGCUGGGAUGCAGCGGCGCUGCCUGAAAACAAGAUUUCUGCCUCUUCCCCAGCUAUUCUCUAGCAUGGUGGCACCAAACAGUCAUUAACAACCGGCGCAAUUUUAGAGCGACGUGUAUUUACACAUAAGGACAAGGACUCAUUAUCGUCGACAUCUACAUAUUGUUGUUUUACAUAACAGCUGCAGUAGAGCAAGUGCACUUUGGUCAAUAGUUUCAUUUAUAAUAAAGUAAUAAAUUAGGAAUAUUUUUCCCUUGACAAUAAGUUUUAUGCCAAGAUUUUAUGUAGCUUAAAGCAAGUUGUCAAUUAGGCUACUUAAAUUAAUUUUUGGCAGCAGUUAAUUGGAGCCUAGAGUCUUUUGUCUUUAAACAGCUAAUCCUAAACAAGAAAAUACAAUGAUUAAAUGUUUCUUAAACAAUAUUAUUCACAGAAUUUAAAAUAUAGCAUUUAAUUAAGAUUUGGACUUGUUAAUCUUUUUUUUAUUUUUUUUUUUAGAGAGAUUAAUUUAAAUUUCUUCAAAUAAAAUUGCUACCAUGACUCUGAUUAAACUGGCUUACCGCAAGACUAAGGUCUGAGACCUUCCAACACUCCUACAGCUCUUAUACCCAAAGGCAAAUUAUUUCUGAUUACUUUCUAAAGAGACAUACUUUGUCCUUUCAGAAAGGCAGGACAUUCCCAUUUGGAGCUCCAGAAGUCUAAGAGUUGUGUUCACAGGAUAAAAAUGCUGUAUUAUUACAGUCAGGUACUGGUAAAUAUGCUAAACAAAUAAAAGACUUCAGUAAGGCUUCCCGGCAUGGCCAGCUUCUGGGCAGGAAACCAAGACUUCUUAAAACCAGAAAUCACUUCAAAAAGGCUGGUAACCAAAAAUUCAGUCCAAGGUUAUGAUUAGACUUACGCGCUUCAUAUCGAUGAAAGUAGAGCAGCUAGAAAGAGAUCUCGCAGCCUUGAUUUAAAAUUUUUCCAAUUCUGGAAAUUUGCUGUGUUCCUGAUUAAAUGUACCAUAUGGUAUCAUGAUUUGCAGAGAAAUGAGUCCUGAUAGAGUAAUAUUCCCGACUGAAUCUGUUAUUUAUAUCCGCCAUCAGUUAUGGAAAGGAGAGUGAAUUAACGCACAGUUCUUUGGUACGUUACACAGGAGUUAAGAUUAGAUAAUUAUAAAGCUUCCUACUAUGAAAUCCUGGAAGCUAAUUUGUAAUUAAUGAAUUAAUUAAAGAGAAAAAAAAAGAUGUAUUUUAGAUGAUAAGUGUACCUAGUCACCUUCUCUCAUAAUUCUGGUCUUCAGUGCCUCCUUCUUUGCUGGCAGGGAAUAUACAUCAGGCAGACUUCAUAUAUUUGAGAAGUGGAGCAAGAGCCUGUUAGUUUAAGUACCACAGGCAUACCUAAUCACAGAAAACCAGCCUUUUAUAAAGAACGAAGCACAGACAUGUAGAGAGAGCGUCCCUAGGUUUGGGGCAACAGAAGACCAUAUUUUUUUUCUCUGCUAGAGAAGGAGUGUUUGGGGCUGCAGGUGCAAAAUGUACUGUUUGAACCAACUUUCCACCCAGCUCUCAUGACCAGUGCCACCAUCCAUGUGGAGGGAAACCCAUUGCUACAGAACUCAUGGACAAGGACAGCAGAUGAAAGCAGCUAGGAGCAAUCCAAGCUGAACUACUUUGGUUUGAAACCAAGGAAUUGCUAUUAGGGAACCAUCCUAGUAACUUCUUAGGCAAGAGAUCUGCUGUACUGUCAGUCCCAUGUAUUCAGAGAGUCCCUCCUCAUUUAUGGCGUCUUCAGAUGAAGAAAUGUUGGGUUCUUUAAUUAAUGUCUUCAUGUCUUUGAGCCUUUGAGCUUUGCAUUCUUGACCACUUCUUUGCAGCCAAGUAGCUGGAAAAUUCUUCCAUUUUCUCUAAAAUAAAAUGAAAUUCAAAUACAUUCACAGGAGUCUAGCAACUGGGUCUUCAAGAAAACCAUCAAAAUUCAUGAGUCAUCCUAAAACCACAAGGGAAGCUAAGAAUGCUGCUCAAGGCCACAUGUCUCACAAAGAAAGAGCAUUGCUUUUUAACUGGAAGCACUAAGCCUGGUUGUUAUUUGAAAAUUAAUAGGAGAGCUUCUCUGUUACGGUGGUGUUUUCUUAUGUCUCAAUAUCAUCCAGCACAGCAGCACGGAAUCAGUCUACCAAAAAAACCUGAAGGUGAGAAUGACCAAAAUUAAAUGUGAAAUGAACGGGACUGUUUUCAUUGUCCAAGCUGAUUGAAAUGCAGACCAGUCUUUUUAGUUAUUUAAAAACACUUGUGAAAAACGGAGUUUUAGUUUGAGACAAAAAGUGAUUUAACUUUAAAUGAAAACCUACACAUUGGAAAGAUGGUCAUCAAAUAUAGACUCAACAUAUAGAAUCAAGAUCAAAUGCUUACUCAUGGGCAACUGCUGAAAAAACCUUGAACUCUAUAAAUUAAAAACAGAUGCUUUAAAUUAAAACACAUAAAUUACCGAUGCUGAUAUUACUAUAAAUUUCAAUGAUGAAAAUACAUCACUCAAGACUUUAAAGGAGAUUCUAAAGGUUACGUAUAGGAGUAUUUUGCAUUAUUAAACAAAGUGUCACCUGAAGAAGUUCCCUGGAAGAAUGUAGGAGGUAAUGUAUCUCAGGUUAUUGUGACAUGAUUCAACUACUAUUGCUGGUUUUAUUCUGAGUUGAUGUUGUGUACCUUGGGCAUUUCUUUGUUUAGUUUCUGGUGUGUAUUCAGAGUCCAAACUUAGAGCCCUGUGUAGCUCAUUUAAUUUCCAGCUGGACAUAUACUUUCUCCCUCUCCCCUAUACAGAGAACACAGCUGGAACCAGUAACAUCUCUGCAAAUGAACUGAACUUUUAAGUUCAACCAUUGUAUCAUGCUUCAGGCUGCUUAGUGUCUUUCUAACCCUAGUGUAAUUUGGUAUUAUUUCUACUAAAUAAUGGUCAAAUCUUGUAUAUAUGUAUGGAAAGCUUCCAUGUCCUCAGGAUAGCGCACUAGUUAAAAAUAUCAUUUAACUGGAGUAAACAGUAAAAACAAAAGCCAUAUUUAUAGAUCAUUAUUUUAGAAGGGUGACGUUUACCUCCAGCUGGUGUAUUAGAAUUUUGCGUUAAGCAGUUUUGGUUUUGAACAGUUUGAAACAGCCCAACAGUGUUGAAAACCAUAUAUCAGUAUAAUAAACAGAUGUUAUAAAUGUAUAAAAUAUGUGUAUACAUGUAUAGCUGAACUAUGCGAAUGCACAAAUAUAUAUAUAUUCUCACACAUACAUGCAUGUGAAUAUAGACGUUUUCUUAACUACACACAUAUGAUGUACAUUUUAUUAAGAGAAUCCAAAUUUUCAUAUAUUUAUUCUAGCUGUUUAUAUGAAAGCUUCUUUGGUUUCUUUUAAAACCAUUUUCAGACUUUUCUAUUAUGACCACCCAAUAUU
Molecule: long non-coding RNA, 4195 nt
Organism: Grus americana (Whooping crane)
Lineage: Eukaryota; Metazoa; Chordata; Aves; Gruiformes; Gruidae
Exons: 3
Source: RefSeq, a predicted model, not a curated record